Molecule: long non-coding RNA, 276 nt
Filed under: Hordeum vulgare
Lineage: Eukaryota; Viridiplantae; Streptophyta; Magnoliopsida; Poales; Poaceae
Description: long non-coding RNA (HVUL_LNC010912)
Source: RNAcentral
CUCUUCUUCUAUUUCUCCUCUUCUUCUACUUCUUCUUCUACUUCUACUUCUCCUCUUCUUCUACUACUUCUCCUCUUCUCUUCUUCUACUUCUCCUCUCCUCCUCUUUUAAUUUUUUCUCUUCUUCUACUUCCCCUCUUCUUCUAUUUUCCUCUUCUUCUCCUCUCCUCCUCUUCUUAUUCUCCUUUUUCUUCUUUUCUUCUCCUCCUCUUCUUAUUUUCCUUUUUCCUAAUUCUAAAUAUUACUAACCUAAUAAUCUAGCACAAACCUAAUAACA